Molecule: non-coding RNA, 31 nt
Filed under: Mus musculus (house mouse)
Lineage: Eukaryota; Metazoa; Chordata; Mammalia; Rodentia; Muridae
Source: RNAcentral
UAGAUGACCUCUAACCUGUCAUUCUAGCCUG